This 432-nucleotide ribosomal RNA is filed under the name uncultured bacterium. RNAcentral describes it as "partial 16S ribosomal RNA". It matches the Rfam family "Bacterial small subunit ribosomal RNA", at positions 29 to 507 of the family's 1533-position model. The record is from RNAcentral.
ACGCACGCUGGCGGCAGGCCUAACCCAUGCAAGUCGCGCGAGGACUUCGGUCCUAGCGGCGGACGGGUGAGUAACGCGUGGGAACGUGCCCUUUGCUUCGGAAUAGCCCUGGGAAACUGGGAGUAAUACCGGAUGAGCCCUUUGGGGGAAAGAUUUAUCGGCGAAGGAUCGGCCCGCGUUGGAUUAGGUAGUUGGUGGGGUAAUGGCCUACCAAGCCGACGAUCCAUAGCUGGUUUGAGAGGAUGAUCAGCCACACUGGGACUGAGACACGGCCCAGACUCCUACGGGAGGCAGCAGUGGGGAAUCUUAGACAAUGGGGGAAACCCUGAUCUAGCCAUGCCGCGUGAGCGAUGAAGGCCUUAGGGUUGUAAAGCUCUUUCAGCUGGGAAGAUAAUGACGGUACCAGCAGAAGAAGCCCCGGCUAACUCCGUG